RNAcentral lists this ribosomal RNA (776 nucleotides) under uncultured Neocallimastigales. RNAcentral describes it as "partial large subunit ribosomal RNA". It matches the Rfam family "Eukaryotic large subunit ribosomal RNA", at positions 18 to 616 of the family's 3401-position model. Lineage: Eukaryota; Fungi; Neocallimastigomycota; Neocallimastigomycetes; Neocallimastigales. The record is from RNAcentral.
UUCAGACGAUGCGUCAUGCAUAUCAAUAAGCGGAGGAAAAGAAACUAACAAGGAUUCCCUCAGUAACGGCGAGUGAAGCGGGAAGAGCUCAAAUUUGAAAUCUUGAAAGGUCACCUUUCAUGAAUUGUAGUUUAAAGAAGUGUUUUCUGUUACGAUCGUAAUAUAAGUUCUUUGGAAUAGGACAUCACAGAGGGUGAGAAUCCCGUCUAUGAUUGCGAUUUGUAGCUUUGUGAUACACUUUCAAAGAGUCGGGUUGUUUGGGAAUGCAGCCCAAAACGGGAGGUAAAUUUCUUCUAAGGCUAAAUAUUGGCGAGAGACCGAUAGCGAACAAGUACCGUGAGGGAAAGAUGAAAAGAACUUUGAAAAGAGAGUUAAACAGUACGUGAAAUUGUCAAAAGGGAAGCGUUUGACACCAGUGUUGUUUUCUGAAAAUCAAUUAAAAAGAGUUAGAUUUUGUUGUGUAUUGACCUUAACAGCUUGCAUUUCAAUUUUCUUGCUUUUUUAAUGCACUUUUCAGUUAACAAGUCAACAUCAGUUUCUUUUGUUGUAAAAAGGGUAAUAGGAAGGUGGCUUUCGCUUCGGCUCAAGUGUUUAUAGCCUUUUAGCCUCUGCAGUCGGAGAGAUUGAGGUCUGCAGCGUAGAUCCUUCGGGGUUAAAUAGCAUUUGUGCUAAGUUAUAGCCUUUCAUAGACAACUUGUUGACUAUGAUCAGUCAUGUAGCUUACUCGCUUAUGCUAUUUUACCUACGCUUAGGAUGUUGAGCGCAUGUCUCUCUCU